Molecule: long non-coding RNA, 1244 nt
Organism: Canis lupus familiaris (dog)
Lineage: Eukaryota; Metazoa; Chordata; Mammalia; Carnivora; Canidae
Exons: 5
Source: RefSeq, a predicted model, not a curated record
UGUGCCACAGGUGACUGCGAGCCUUGUUGAAAAACACAUGUUGGUGAUAACGCCUUCUUACUUCCCGGCCCAUGUUGGGCAUUAUAAUGUGCAACGCAACCGUUAGGCAGGGUCCAACUAGCCUAAGUAGCUAUUUGUAACAAGGCCAAGAAUUUAAAGCCAACUUCAGCAAUUCUCGAGAGAUGCUUAAUUACUCACAGGUGAUGUUGCUAGGCAACCACUUCACCUUCUGAUUCUGCUGCUUCACCUAAGUGUGGUCCUCAGUUUGCUUUAUCGUUACUGAAUGUUAAAAGACGUGGAGAAGUACAGUCGAAACGAUCUAUUUAAAACCAGGAAUUCCUUACAAAAGGCAGAAUUACUGGUAUCAAAUUCCUUCAAUUUCUAUUUUCUGAGAAAGUCUUCAUUUUUUCCUCACUUAUGAAGGGUAAAUCUACAGAGAUGCAGAAUUUCAGGUGAUACCAAAUAAGGAGGCCUGGGGUACCAGAAAGACGCAGCUGAGGAAUACUCUGCUGAAACCUCCAGGUCAGUUCCUGCUGUCAAGUACAGACGCACUUCGCUCUGUGGCCCUUCGCUUUACUGCACUUCACAGAUACUGUUUUUAGAAAUUAAAGGUCUGCGGCAGUCCUGCAUGAAAAAACACGACGGUAACCUUGACAAUGCUCGGCCCAGCUGUUUGAGAACUCCGAAAUGUGGACAGCAACAGGCAGAUUGAACUACAGCACCGUUAAUCCAGGUGCUUGAAGACUGGGGGCCAGUUGGCCAUCUUUGUGUCCCUCGGCGCCUCCUGGCCUGAGCUGAACUCGGCUGGGAACCCAGACCGGGCACAGUAAGGCAGAACCAGCAACAACGACAAACAAAGCAGUUCAGAAUUUAAACAAGACCCUCAGACAUCACAUUCAAAAUCUCCAAGAUUGUCCAAAUUUACUCAAAAUUACUCCAAAAAUUCCUCAGAAAUCAAAAUUCCUUACAAUCAAUCCAGAAUUACCCAGGGUACAACCAACCAUGAUGUUUAUUUCAUCUAGCUUGGAAAAAAAAAAAAAGCAAAAGAUGACCGACAGAGAUGUUGGAAGAAGCAGCAAUAAAAAUUGUGGUCAAACACUUUUGAAACAAGUGUUAAAAUGUCAAGUACAGAGAAUCUAUAUGAUAUAAAGAAGAAACAAAUAGUAACUCUGGAACUGAAAAACUCACUGAACAAAUUCAGUACCAGAUUGGAGAUGAGAAAAGUUGGUGAACUUCAAGAUAGA